GUGGUGGUUCAGUGGUAGAAUUCUCGCCUUCCACGCAGGAGACCUGGGUUCAAUUCCCAGCCAACACA
Molecule: transfer RNA, 68 nt
Filed under: Loxodonta africana (African savanna elephant)
Lineage: Eukaryota; Metazoa; Chordata; Mammalia; Proboscidea; Elephantidae
Rfam family: tRNA
About the family: Transfer RNA (tRNA) molecules are approximately 80 nucleotides in length. Their secondary structure includes four short double-helical elements and three loops (D, anti-codon, and T loops).
Source: Rfam by way of RNAcentral